This 60-nucleotide transfer RNA is filed under the name Cordylochernes scorpioides. Its description in RNAcentral is "tRNA-OTHER". The record is from RNAcentral. Lineage: Eukaryota; Metazoa; Arthropoda; Arachnida; Pseudoscorpiones; Chernetidae.
UGUUUCUGCCAGGGCUUGAACCUGGGACCUUCAUAGUGAUAACCACUAUACCACAGAAAC